AUGUGGCACGGCCCACGAUUUAGACAUCUUUCGUACAUCACAGCCUUAAGUGCAGGUCUUUGUGGUUUAAGCGUGGAUCCUCAGCUCUGCAGGGCACUGCCAGCCCCUCGGCACAGCAUCCUCCCGCUCCUCCUCCCGCUCCCCCCAGGCUGGGGCAGCUCCUGCUCCUUGUUCAUGGCAGCACCUCCAGCUCCUGGGGACACAGAACCACAGCCCAGUUGUCACCAUACAGCAGAGGGAAUCUUUGGCAGCGUUUCAGUGCGUCACUAUGCCAGAAAGGUGCCUUUGGAAGACAGAAAUAAAUUGGAAGCAUGGGGAUUCAUUGUGAAAUGCCUGCCAGAGCUGCAGCCAUUCCUGCGAGCACUUCCUGAGCAGCUUAUGAAUACCCUGGAGAUGCAUGUCCCAGACAUCUGACGUUUAGGACCAGCAUCCCUUGCA
This 438-nucleotide long non-coding RNA is filed under the name Anas platyrhynchos platyrhynchos (common mallard). RNAcentral describes it as "lncRNA (ENSAPLG00000018453.1)". Lineage: Eukaryota; Metazoa; Chordata; Aves; Anseriformes; Anatidae. The record is from RNAcentral.